This 467-nucleotide ribosomal RNA is filed under the name uncultured bacterium. RNAcentral describes it as "partial 16S ribosomal RNA". It matches the Rfam family "Bacterial small subunit ribosomal RNA", at positions 28 to 506 of the family's 1533-position model. The record is from RNAcentral.
GACGAACGCUGGCGGCGUGCUUAACACAUGCAAGUCGAACGGAAAGGCCCUGCUUUUGUGGGGUGCUCGAGUGGCGAACGGGUGAGUAACACGUGAGUAACCUGCCCUUGACUUUGGGAUAACUUCAGGAAACUGGGGCUAAUACCGGAUAGGAGCUCCUGCUGCAUGGUGGGGGUUGGAAAGUUUCGGCGGUUGGGGAUGGACUCGCGGCUUAUCAGCUUGUUGGUGGGGUAGUGGCUUACCAAGGCUUUGACGGGUAGCCGGCCUGAGAGGGUGACCGGCCACAUUGGGACUGAGAUACGGCCCAGACUCCUACGGGAGGCAACAGUGGGGAAUAUUGCACAAUGGGCGGAAGCCUGAUGCAGCAACGCCGCGUGCGGGAUGACGGCCUUCGGGUUGUAAACCGCUUUCGCCUGUGACGAAGCGUGAGUGACGGUAAUGGGUAAAGAAGCACCGGCUAACUACGU